This 490-nucleotide ribosomal RNA is filed under the name uncultured bacterium. RNAcentral describes it as "bacterial SSU rRNA". It matches the Rfam family "Bacterial small subunit ribosomal RNA", at positions 29 to 524 of the family's 1533-position model. The record is from RNAcentral.
AUUGAACGCUGGCGGCAUGCUUUACACAUGCAAGUCGAGCGGCAGCGCGUCCGACCACCCUCGGGUGGUCGGAUGGCGGCGAGCGGCGGACGGGUGAGGAAUGCAUCGGAAUCUGCCUCGUUGUGGGGGAUAACGUAGGGAAACUUACGCUAAUACCGCAUACGACCUACGGGUGAAAGUGGGGGACCUUCGGGCCUCACGCGAUGAGAUGAGCCGAUGCCGGAUUAGCUAGUUGGCGGGGUAAAGGCCCACCAAGGCGACGAUCCGUAGCUGGUCUGAGAGGAUGAUCAGCCACAUUGGGACUGAGACACGGCCCAAACUCCUACGGGAGGCAGCAGUGGGGAAUAUUGGACAAUGGGGGCAACCCUGAUCCAGCCAUGCCGCGUGAGUGAUGAAGGCCCUAGGGUUGUAAAGCUCUUUCAGUGGGGAAGAUAAUGACUGUACCCACAGAAGAAGCCCCGGCUAACUCCGUGCCAGCAGCCGCGGUAAU